UCAUCUUCGGGGGUAGAGCACUGUUUCGGCUAGGGGGUCAUCCCGACUUACCAACCCGAUGCAAACUACGAAUACCGAAGAAUGUUAUCACGGGAGACACACGGCGGGUGCUAACGUCCGUCGUGAAGAGGGAAACAACCCAGACCGCCAGCUAAGGUCCCAAAGUCAUGGUUAAGUGGGAAACGAUGUGGGAAGGCACAGACAGCCAGGAUGUUGGCUUAGAAGCAGCCAUCAUUUAAAGAAAGCGUAAUAGCUCACUGGUCGAGUCGGCCUGCGCGGAAGAUGUAACGGGGCUAAACCAUGCACCGAAGCUGCGGCAGCGACACUAUGUGUUGUUGGGUAGGGGAGCGUUCUGUAAGCCUGCGAAGGUGUGCUGUGAGGCAUGCUGGAGGUAUCAGAAGUGCGAAUGCUGACAUAAGUAACGAUAAAGCGGGUGAAAAGCCCGCUCGCCGGAAGACCAAGGGUUCCUGUCCAACGUUAAUCGGGGCAGGGUGAGUCGACCCCUAAGGCGAGGCCGAAAGGCGUAGUCGAUGGGAAACAGGUUAAUAUUCCUGUACUUGGUGUUACUGCGAAGGGGGGACGGAGAAGGCUAUGUUAGCCGGGCGACGGUUGUCCCGGUUUAAGCAUGUAGGCUGGUUAUCCAGGCAAAUCCGGAUAAUCAAGGCUGAGGUGUGAUGACGAGGCACUACGGUGCUGAAGUAACAAAUGCCCUGCUUCCAGGAAAAGCCUCUAAGCAUCAGGUAACAUCAAAUCGUACCCCAAACCGACACAGGUGGUCAGGUAGAGAAUACCAAGGCGCUUGAGAGAACUCGGGUGAAGGAACUAGGCAAAAUGGUGCCGUAACUUCGGGAGAAGGCACGCUGGUGUGUAGGUGAAGCCCCUGCGGGUGGAGCUGAGACCAGUCGAAGAUACCAGCUGGCUGCAACUGUUUAUUAAAAACACAGCACUGUGCAAACACGAAAGUGGACGUAUACGGUGUGACGCCUGCCCGGUGCCGGAAGGUUAAUUGAUGGGGUUAUCCGUAAGGAGAAGCUCUUGAUCGAAGCCCCGGUAAACGGCGGCCGUAACUAUAACGGUCCUAAGGUAGCGAAAUUCCUUGUCGGGUAAGUUCCGACCUGCACGAAUGGCGUAAUGAUGGCCAGGCUGUCUCCACCCGAGACUCAGUGAAAUUGAACUCGCUGUGAAGAUGCAGUGUACCCGCGGCAAGACGGAAAGACCCCGUGAACCUUUACUAUAGCUUGACACUGAACAUUGAGCCUUGAUGUGUAGGAUAGGUGGGAGGCUUUGAAGCGUGGACGCCAGUCUGCGUGGAGCCAACCUUGAAAUACCACCCUUUAAUGUUUGAUGUUCUAACGUUGGCCCCUGACCGGGGUUGCGGACAGUGUCUGGUGGGUAGUUUGACUGGGGCGGUCUCCUCCCAAAGCGUAACGGAGGAGCACGAAGGUUAGCUAAUCCUGGUCGGACAUCAGGAGGUUAGUGCAAUGGCAUAAGCUAGCUUGACUGCGAGCGUGACGGCGCGAGCAGGUGCGAAAGCAGGUCAUAGUGAUCCGGUGGUUCUGAAUGGAAGGGCCAUCGCUCAACGGAUAAAAGGUACUCCGGGGAUAACAGGCUGAUACCGCCCAAGAGUUCAUAUCGACGGCGGUGUUUGGCACCUCGAUGUCGGCUCAUCACAUCCUGGGGCUGAAGUAGGUCCCAAGGGUAUGGCUGUUCGCCAUUUAAAGUGGUACGCGAGCUGGGUUUAGAACGUCGUGAGACAGUUCGGUCCCUAUCUGCCGUGGGCGCUGGAGAAUUGAGGGGGGCUGCUCCUAGUACGAGAGGACCGGAGUGGACGCAUCACUGGUGUUCGGGUUGUCAUGCCAAUGGCACUGCCCGGUAGCUAAAUGCGGAAGAGAUAAGUGCUGAAAGCAUCUAAGCACGAAACUUGCCCCGAGAUGAGUUCUCCCUGAGACUUUAAGUCUCCUGAAGGAACGUUAAAGACGAUGACGUUGAUAGGCCGGGUGUGUAAGCGCAGCGAUGCGUUGAGCUAACCGGUACUAAUGAACCGUGAGGCUUAACCUU
This 2058-nucleotide ribosomal RNA is filed under the name Klebsiella pneumoniae BWH 15. RNAcentral's name for it is "bacterial LSU rRNA". It matches the Rfam family "Bacterial large subunit ribosomal RNA", at positions 890 to 2925 of the family's 2925-position model. Lineage: Bacteria; Pseudomonadati; Pseudomonadota; Gammaproteobacteria; Enterobacterales; Enterobacteriaceae. The record is from RNAcentral.